CCUACGGGCGGCAGCAGUGGGGAAUAUUGGACAAUGGGGGCAACCCUGAUCCAGCCAUGCCGCGUGUGUGAAGAAGGCCCUCGGGUUGUAAAGCACUUUCAGUGAGGAAGAACGCCUGGUGGUUAAUACCCAUCAGGAAAGACAUCACUCACAGAAGAAGCACCGGCUAACUCCGUGCCAGCAGCCGCGGUAAUACGGAGGGUGCGGGCGUUAAUCGGAAUUACUGGGCGUAAAGCGCGCGUAGGUGGCUUGAUAAGCCGGUUGUGAAAGCCCCGGGCUCAACCUGGGAACGGCAUCCGGAACUGUCAAGCUAGAGUGCAGGAGAGGAAGGUAGAAUUCCCGGUGUAGCGGUGAAAUGCGUAGAGAUCGGGAGGAAUACCAGUGGCGAAGGCGGCCUUCUGGACUGACACUGACACUGAGGUGCGAAAGCGUGGGUAGCAAACAGGAUUAGAUACCCGUGUAGUC
This 465-nucleotide ribosomal RNA is filed under the name Vreelandella stevensii. Its description in RNAcentral is "partial 16S ribosomal RNA". It matches the Rfam family "Bacterial small subunit ribosomal RNA", at positions 338 to 795 of the family's 1533-position model. Lineage: Bacteria; Pseudomonadati; Pseudomonadota; Gammaproteobacteria; Oceanospirillales; Halomonadaceae. The record is from RNAcentral.